RNAcentral lists this small nuclear RNA (95 nucleotides) under Catagonus wagneri (Chacoan peccary). The record is from RNAcentral. Lineage: Eukaryota; Metazoa; Chordata; Mammalia; Artiodactyla; Tayassuidae.
GCUUCAAUAGCACAUACUAAAACUGGAACAACACAAAGAUUGCAUGGCCCCUGCACAAGACUGACAUGCAAAUUUGUGAAGUGUUACCUAUUUUG